Long non-coding RNA from Cyanistes caeruleus (blue tit), 2229 nucleotides. Lineage: Eukaryota; Metazoa; Chordata; Aves; Passeriformes; Paridae. The record is from Ensembl.
GAGAGAAGGCGGGCGAGGCAGAGCCCGGCGGCUACAAGCGGCAGCGGCGAUGGAGGGAUGGAGGGAUGGAGAGGAGGAGGAGGAAGAUGAGGAGGAGGGCUUUAAAGACACAGCAGGGAGAGGCGUGGCCACCGCCGCCGCCUCAGGUGAGCCGCGGGCCGCCCCUGGCCCCCGGGGAGGCGGCUGUCGGGAGCCCAGGACGGAAAGUGUUGUCUCCGGGAGAUGAGGCGAUUCCUCCAGGUUUUUCUUCAUUGCCAUACCUUCAGAUCAACACCUCUCAUCCAUUAAAGUGCUAUCAACAUAUGUUGAACUGGUACUUAUGUUCCAGCACAGAACACCAGCUCCAUCACAGGGAAUCAUUUUAUCUGAAAGGUGCCCUUUGAUUUCAGCCUCAUUAUUUGAAUCUAUCUAGCUUCACAGAGCUACAUACAGGAUUUCACUGGGACUGUGGGGAAAUAAGGUCUACCUAAUGCCAGGAAACUCCCUUGUGGUCUUCACCACAGCCCUGCAGAGAGCUAUGCUGGGACAUGGGCUGCUUCAAAGCUGUUCCUGAGCUCUGUCAGGGCAGCCCUGUGUGUGCAGGCACCUGCUGAAAAUCCAGGAAUGGCUGUUGCCACAGACUGCAGAACAAUUGCCCUCCAGACUGCUGCUUACAGCACUCUCGUGGGAUUUGAGAGAAAAGGCUUUAAGCAAGUCCCAGACCUCAUGCUGCCCUUUGCAGGGUAGGUGCUCCAAAUGCUAGACUAUUACUAGACAAAUGGGUGGUAGCAAUCUCACCUCAUGCUCUUCCCACUCAGAGAAGAAAAAUCAUGACUUAAGGCAUCAGGUGCUGAGUCCUGUUUUCACAAAAAUGCCUACCUACACCCAUGUUCACACGAGAAAAACAUCCCUAUCUUCAGAAUUUCUUAGCAACCGGCAAAAGUGCAUCCACAGUCAGAGUUUCUCUGAGGAGCCUGUUUUCAAUCCUCAUUCCCACUGGGGCCUUGCAUGACCUGAAGGGUGAAUAUGAUAAAGUCCAGCUGCACAAUCUGGGCUCAGGCUCUUGAGAUAGAAAGAGACAUGGUGAGAAAGCACAGUGGCUAGAAAUACACAAAAGUAAACAUCAGGCACAGACAACUUCAUUGAACUUAGGGUAAACAGCAAAUUGAGGAAAUUUCACUGGAAAAACUGUGACCUGAAAAGAUAUUAAAAUAGAAGGGGAAAACAAGGAGUCAGAAAAGCAAAGUGAAGGAUCAGCCCCUCACAAGGUGGAAUGGAGGCCUGUCCUUGGCCUCUCAAAACUCAUCCAGUGCUUUACUGGGGUGGUGGCUUGGCAGCUCCCCAGUCUUAGCAAUUUGACAAUAGUGAACUGUUUUUCAAUUUGUCCUCCAUGUGUGAUAUUCUGUGUAAACCCUGCUAUUAGUUUCCAUCUGCUUAUGGUAAAAGCUGCCUGAACAAAGUGAGAGAGUCUGGGCUGCAUAGUUAAUUGGUCUUUUCUCUCUUCCACUCAUCAGAGCUCAGGAAACUUCAGACACUGUCUCAGUCCCUCUAGACCCAACUUAGCAAUGCAGUGUAGGAUUUGCAGGACUGAGUUGCUGUGGUUUUAUUUGCAUCUGGGCCUAAUGAAAGGUGAGGGCAACAUAUGGAGAUGCAGAAUUUUUCAGGGAGAAAUGGAACAUGAUAAAGAUGAGCAGAAGUAGACUGAACCAGAUUGUAUAAUGUAGAUUUGAAAAGAUAUUUUAAGUCAUGCUUUAUAUUAUAUGACUCAUCAAUAUAUUGCUCAACAUGUAGAAUUUACAUGACACAUUUCCACAUGCUUUGAGAUAUAACUGAAACCUUGAUCCAAAAAUGCUGCCAAUUACAGGGCUCUAAAUUUAGCCUGUGGAUGUCAGAAGGGCAGUAAGAUGGGAUCAUUUAUCACAAACCAACAAAACCUCUCUGCUGACACAACCCUUUUCAACAUUCAUUGCUUUGAGAACCUCCCCUACGUAAAGAGUUUGCAGAAGGUUAGCAACACUCAACCAGAGGGAGGGAGAAGUUGUCUAUGCUAUCAUUGAAGCAUAUCACGAUGCAAUUGAACAUGAUCUGCUUUCUUAUAUUGAUAAUCCUUUUUUUAACUAAGAUACAUAUUUAGCUUUAGUACAGUAAAAAAAUUGCUUUAGAAAAAAUUAAAAAGAGAGGAAAAUAACUUUUCCAAAAGCUUUCAUGGGGAAUGAAAAUAAAAGGAUCACAUGAAUGUUAAGAGUGUCA